AAAUUGAAGAGUUUGAUCAUGGCUCAGAUUGAACGCUGGCGGCAGGCCUAACACAUGCAAGUCGAACGGUAACAGGAAGCAGCUUGCUGCUUCGCUGACGAGUGGCGGACGGGUGAGUAAUGUCUGGGAAACUGCCUGAUGGAGGGGGAUAACUACUGGAAACGGUAGCUAAUACCGCAUAACGUCGCAAGACCAAAGGGGGGGGGACCUUCGGGCCUCUUGCCAUCGGAUGUGCCCAGAUGGGAUUAGCUUGUUGGUGGGGUAACGGCUCACCAAGGCGACGAUCCCUAGCUGGUCUGAGAGGAUGACCAGCCACACUGGAACUGAGACACGGUCCAGACUCCUACGGGAGGCAGCAGUGGGGAAUAUUGCACAAUGGGCGCAAGCCUGAUGCAGCCAUGCCGCGUGUAUGAAGAAGGCCUUCGGGUUGUAAAGUACUUUC
RNAcentral lists this ribosomal RNA (442 nucleotides) under Escherichia coli. RNAcentral's name for it is "bacterial SSU rRNA". It matches the Rfam family "Bacterial small subunit ribosomal RNA", at positions 1 to 437 of the family's 1533-position model. The record is from RNAcentral. Lineage: Bacteria; Pseudomonadati; Pseudomonadota; Gammaproteobacteria; Enterobacterales; Enterobacteriaceae.